RNAcentral lists this ribosomal RNA (433 nucleotides) under uncultured bacterium. Its description in RNAcentral is "partial 16S ribosomal RNA". It matches the Rfam family "Bacterial small subunit ribosomal RNA", at positions 29 to 507 of the family's 1533-position model. The record is from RNAcentral.
AACGAACGCUGGCGGCAUGCCUAACACAUGCAAGUCGAACGAGACCUUCGGGUCUAGUGGCGCACGGGUGCGUAACGCGUGGGAACCUGCCCUUAGGUUCGGAAUAACUCCCCGAAAGGGGUGCUAAUACCGGAUAAUGUCUUCGGGCCAAAGAUUUAUCGCCUUUGGAUGGGCCCGCGUUGGAUUACCUGGUUGGUAGGGUAAAAGCCUACCAAGGCGACGAUCCCUAGCUGGUCUGAGAGGAUGAUCAGCCACACUGGGACUGAGACACGGCCCAGACUCCUACGGGAGGCAGCAGUGGGGAAUAUUGGACAAUGGGCGAAAGCCUGAUCCAGCAAUGCCGCGUGAGUGAUGAAGGCCUUAGGGUUGUAAAGCUCUUUUACCCGGGAUGAUAAUGACAGUACCGGGAGAAUAAGCUCCGGCUAACUCCGUG